UUGUGGUUAAAAAGCUCGUAGUUGGAUCUCGGCGGACUGAGGGCGGUUUGCUUGCUAGUAUUACUGCCCUAUAGUCCGUAGUUUUGCCAGAGGUUUCGGGGUGCUCUUAAUCGAGUGUCCCGGGAUGCUGGCAGGUUUACUUUGAAAAAAUUAGAGUGCUCAAAGCAGGCUAUUACGCCUGAAUAUUCGUGCAUGGAAUAAUAGAAUAGGAUGUCGUUUCUAUUUUGUUGGUUUUCGGAAAUCGACUUAAUGAUUAAUAGGGACAGUCGGGGGCAUUUGUAUUCAAACGACAGAGGUGAAAUUCUUGGACCGUUUGAAGACAAACUACUGCGAAAGCAUUUGCCAGGAAUGUUUUCAUUAAUCAAGAACGAAAGUUAAAGGUUCGAAGGCGAUUAGAUACCGCCCUAGUUUUAACCAUAAACGAUGCCAGCUAGCGAUCUGCGGACGUUUUUUUUGUAGACUCCGCAGGAAGCUUCCGGGAAACCAAAGCAUUUGGGUUCCCAGGGGAAGUAUGGUUGCAAAGCUGAAACUUAAAGGA
RNAcentral lists this ribosomal RNA (538 nucleotides) under uncultured marine eukaryote. Its description in RNAcentral is "SSU rRNA". It matches the Rfam family "Eukaryotic small subunit ribosomal RNA", at positions 613 to 1151 of the family's 1831-position model. The record is from RNAcentral.